RNAcentral lists this ribosomal RNA (283 nucleotides) under Megamonas funiformis YIT 11815. Its description in RNAcentral is "partial 16S ribosomal RNA". It matches the Rfam family "Bacterial small subunit ribosomal RNA", at positions 493 to 776 of the family's 1533-position model. The record is from RNAcentral. Lineage: Bacteria; Bacillati; Bacillota; Negativicutes; Selenomonadales; Selenomonadaceae.
UCUUUUUAUUGUGUGCCAGCCGCCGCGGUAAUACGUAGGCGGCAAGCGUUGUCCGGAAUUAUUGGGCGUAAAGGGAGCGCAGGCGGGAAACUAAGCGGAUCUUAAAAGUGCGGGGCUCAACCCCGUGAUGGGGUCCGAACUGGUUUUCUUGAGUGCAGGAGAGGAAAGCGGAAUUCCCAGUGUAGCGGUGAAAUGCGUAGAUAUUGGGAAGAACACCAGUGGCGAAGGCGGCUUUCUGGACUGUAACUGACGCUGAGGCUCGAAAGCUAGGGUAGCGAACGGG